Molecule: long non-coding RNA, 5382 nt
Filed under: Phoenix dactylifera (date palm)
Lineage: Eukaryota; Viridiplantae; Streptophyta; Magnoliopsida; Arecales; Arecaceae
Description: long non-coding RNA (PDAC_LNC000864)
Source: RNAcentral
AAAGAUUUUGAUCUCCUAUGAAACUGCUCUCUUAAGAUCAGGUAAGCCUCCAAUCUUUUGCCACAAAUCACCUUAUUCUUCUUUGAAUCAUAUUUCAGAUCAAGUAGAUAUAAGGAUUAGAAAAUGAUGUUAGUCUUUGUUUAAUAUGCACUAGAUCGAUUUGAUCCAUGACAUAUAUUUCCUCUUGGAGGGCUUAAUGAUUUUGAUCUUAUAAUUUAUUACAUGUUGCUUGUUAUUUUAGAUUUAGCAAAUAGAUUUUUUUUUUCAAUAUUUUGAUGGAUGUGUUAUGGGAUGAUGUGGAAGAUGAAAUUUUGAUGGUGAAUUAUAAACAGGUGAUUCAAGAAAAAAACACAUUAAUAAAAGGUUUCAUUUGCAAGGUAGAAAAUUUUGAUGUGUUUCUCAUUGGGAGUUAGCUUUGUUUUCGAAUGUCUUUCGCCAUCUAUUUGUAAUUCAUUUUCAUGGUUAGUUAUUUCUAAUCUCAUGGUGGCAAAUAUUGAGGGCUCCAAUUUAGGUGACUUUUUGGAUUAUUGGCCUAGCUAAAUUGGAAAGGUCUAAGGGGAAUGGGCUACCCUUGUUGUGUAGCAUGAUCAAGCCUAUAGACUGACAUAUUGAACAAAAAAUAAAAUGAUAGAGGACUUAUAAAUUGCAUAUGAGGGAAGGGUCUAGGCCCAAGGGUAUAGAGAUGGGCGCAAAGCCUACAUUGUUGACUAGGAGGAAGUUGUGCAAGUUAGGGAGAGAGGAGAAAGAUUUAUGACAUUGGGUGGGGGUCUCGAGAAUGAGUGGAAUGCAUAAAGAAUUCAAAUUCCCCAUAUGAUAUUUACAAGUUUAUUAGGAAUGAGUGAUUUAUGAUAAAAAAAAAGUUAGAAAUAAUAUUGGUUAAACUCAUGAAACAAGCCAUAUUAAUUAACUUUACAACUAGUUACUUGUUUGUUUUGCUCCUAAUGCUAAAGCAUUGGUAAGGGGUUAUUGAGUGGAGGAGUUGGCUUGAUCUAGUUUUCUUCUUGUGCAACAGUUUUAGAGAAGACUCUUUUGCUUUUUACUCUUAAUGCAAAAAAAAAGUAAAAGAUGCUAGUGAAAAACUAUGACUAGAAUCCUCGCCUUGCAUGAAAAUUCAUGGAAAAUAUUUCAAGAAAGAACCUAGAUGUUUUGAAAAGAUUAUUUAAGAUAUGGAUAAGAUCUAAGUGGAUCCUGAAGUUGCUUCAAGCAUUUUCUUUUAUGAUAAAUGCUCUUAUCUUGCCAUGGUUUGAGUUGGUUCUGAUGUUGCAUUCCUAACCUAUCGGUAAUGUACUUACUUUAUCAUUUUAAUUCACUUGUGCAAGUUGCCUCUUCUCUUAUCAUCACAAUAAUAAGAUACGAGUUUCAUAUUUAUUUUUGAACCCUUUUUUUCUAAUUAGAAGUUCAUUAUUUUUAAAACGAUAUCCUAUAACUAAUUAUAAUUAUGUUCUUCAUUACAAAUUUUGGUUAUUGGUGGGGGAGGAGUGUUCUUGGGUGGCAAUGAAUUGCAAAUAUCUCUUCACUUUUUUAUGUGAUGCAUUUUCAUGUGGCAAUUUGGCCUUUCUAUUUCGAUCCUCAUUUGGAUGGCCAAUAUGUUUCUUAUUUAUGGUGAAAUUCUGAAUAGAUUUUCUAUAUAGAAGAUAUUAAUGGAAGUGAAGUUACAUAUAAUGUUUAAGAGUUGAAGUUGAUAUGACUAUUGCUUGGCGUGAAUUGUCUACAUAAUCAGUUUAUUUCUCAUUUGUGGCCUUAAAUCUAUUUUAUGACUAUUAAUAUCAACCAAAACUAAGGCCUUAACAACACUAUCAAGUUGAGCUCCACUAAUACAUUUUAAAUAUAUUUUCUCCUUAUGUAGGUCAUCAUUAUGUUUUUCUUUAGUCCCAUCAUUCCGGCUUUAGGUAAUUUAGUGUUUCAAUCAUACCAAUAUGUCACGAAAAGCAAUUAGUCACUCUUGAAUUUCAAGUAAUCUAAAUUGAUGUUCAACCACCGAAUUUAUUGAAGUCAACCCCUUAAACUAAGGAACUUACUUAGGGUCCUAAUACACUAAAUACAUAUGGGCAACCACAAGUCUAGUUCAGGUUGGACUUGAUCAUAUCGGUACCAUAACUCGAAGUACAUAUGUUUGCCUCAAACCUAAACCAAAUUUAUAAUCCUUGCAUGAACCUAAUAUUGGCCCCAAAUAUAAUAGGGUAUGGGUUUGGUAUCAAAUUGUAAUCAAGUAUUUAUCAAGCUAUUUUAGUAUUUUUCUUUUCGAGUUAUUAGAUGCACACAACAUGUUACCUUAUGAAUAUUGAACACCAUUGACAACACUAAUCACCAAGCUUUCACAUUGGAUUGUUGGUGCCAUUAUAUAUUAAUUAAUAGUGGUUUAUGGGACCACUUAAUUUAGUUGGAUUGUGACCAUGACUUUAAAUUUUGUUAAUCAAUUCUUUGCAGACCUACUCAUUCAUGGCUUUUAUCAAUUCAAAAUACAUGGUUAUGAUUUAAUCUAUAAAAUAAAUAAAAUAUAGUAUGCAUUGAAGUAUANNNNNNNNNNNNNNNNNNNNNNNNNNNNNNNNNNNNNNNNNNNNNNNNNNNGUUUAAUUUUUCAGGUGCAAUAGACCUAAAUUCAAAUCCAAUCUAAUAUUCUCGAAUAUAGGUUCAGGUUCCAAACCUGAGAUUUACGGUUCUCUCUGGUUCUACAUAUUACACACACACAAGUAUACAUAAAUACAUACCAAAAUAAGGUUUAGGUUUUUAGGUAUCAAUCAAUCUAAAUCCCCACCCGACCAAUUAAUGUCUUGGGUUCGAAUUUAGGAUUAAAAUCCAAUAUUUAGGAUUAAUUUAGGUUCCACGUAGUGGAUUACUGUCUCCUAUUACCACUCCUACUUUUAGGAGUAUGUUCAUUACAAAUUGGAAACCUGUCUUCUCUAUUACUUGCACUUCAUCACUCUACUUCUCUUGAGUCCCAUUCCCUUCAUUUUAAUAAUUUUUUGUUUUUUGCAAAUCUUUUGUACAAGUCAAAAUUCUGAGUAUUUUGUGAUGCUUUAUCUCCAUUUACUUGAAAAGUUUGAAUAGUUGUUGGAGAGUCUAUAUGUUUUACCUCUUUGAUCUAUUCUUUUCUCCUCCGUCUUAUUUCUUCAGCCAAUUUUUCAAGGUUAUAUUUAUAUAUCAACCUUGGAGGCUCUUGCUUAUCUCUUUAACCAAUUAAUUCGAGCAAAUUUUCUUCAGCUGAGGGGUUGAAGCAUGCAACAAUUUCAAUUCAUUAUAUAUACCAAUUCUUUGCUUUAUCUUUCUUCCUCUUGGUCUUCUUGUUCCUAAGGCAUUAGAUGACUAGGAGGUCGAAGUGUGUUUCAUUAAUCUAAAAGGUGAAUCAAGAGUUUCAAAAAAAUUUAAAUUAAGGAGAAACCUGGGUAGUGUGGGUUGAGUUAGAACCAAUCAAAAUCCAAAUAGGCUAGAGAAAUAUGCUUGUUUGGACCUAACAAAUCUACUAAUGAACCUGGCCACCUAAAUCCAAACCUAACAUACGUCCAAAAUUUUCAGCCCAAAGAAAAUUACUCCCUAAUUUGGGCCUACGGAAUCUAAAAGGCCAAAUUGUGAUAAAAACCACUUUUUUAUUUGGGAUCAAAAUUUUAAAUGACAGUAUCCCAACCAUCUUGCCUAUUCUGUAAGAAAACGGGACUAGGAUAGGGGAAAGACUCUGAAACUCGUACACGAUGGGAAAGAAGAAGAAAGGGGAGAGAUGGAAAAGGAAGGAUGGAAGGAGAAAAGAAAGAGAGCAGAAUGAUCAAAAAGUGUUUUUGGUCGGGGGGCGAAGAAGGAGAAAAAGAAGAGAAAGAAUGAAAAGAAGAAAAAUAACAGAAAGAAAGGAAGAUGGAAAGCUAGAAGAAGGGAAAGAGAAAAAAAGGAAGAAAAAUGAAAGAAAGAAAGAAAGGAAGGAAGGAAGAAAAAAAAGAAGAAGAAAAAAUAAAGAAAAAAAAAGAAGGGGAGAGAGUCUGGAGGGUACAUAUUGGGACAUGCUAUCAGGACUAGGAGUAUCAAUCAGAUCAGGUUGGGUCAGAUAUGGGUCAGACUAGAUGUGGGUCAGGUUAAGUAUUUGUCAAUCUAAAUUUUAUCUAUUUAUUAAAUAGAUCAAAAAUCUAAAUUCAGACAUAACCUACAUAUUAGAUAGGUAAUCCAAUCUGACCCAUAUAACUUGUUAACUAAUGGGUCAAAUCAAAUUAAACAUGUUGAACAUAUUUGGGUAAAAAGAUUAAGCUGGUUGCGUUAAAAAGGACAAAAAAGAAUUAAGUAGAUUUUAAGUGGAUUAAAAUGAGUGUUAAAUGAGUUAACCUGGUCAGGUCAUGAUAUGAACUAAUUGUUAAACAUGUCAAAAUGAGUUAAAUGAGUCAAAACGGGUUAAACGGUUUAAAGGUCUAAACUUGAAUAUGACCUGUUAAAUAAAUGGGUCAAGGUAGGUUAACCUAUUUAUAACAUGAACCCAUUCUACCAAACUGAAACCUGCUUAAAGAGGGCCAGUUGUGCAUUGAGUUGAUGGAUCAGGUUAUAAAUUGCCACUCUUAAUAAGGAUGGUCUUAUGGUGGGGCAUUCUGUCUCGUGGACAAACCAGGACACCACUAACUCAUGGGAUUUAAAAUCUUAUUUAGGAUAACUCAACCUAAUCCAAAUUUGGGUUAAAGGUUUUGGAGGGUUUGAUUUGGGUGAUUGGGUUCUGGUUCGGUUUCUGCAGGGUAUUUUUGCAGCUAAGUUGGGUUUGGGUUGGCCCUCAACUCGGGCCUAAUCUGUCCAAGUUGCUCUCCAAUUCUUGGGUUUCUUGAAUUGCUCAGUCCUCCUUUUAGGUUAAUUUGGUACAUCUUUGCCUUCUAGCCAUUCAAUUGCCUUGAUCACUCCAGUUGACCUUGUAUCUAACCUCGAGCAUCCCAUAACUUCAGUCCUUCAUCUCCUUUUGUGCAUCAAGCAGGGAAGAAAAGAGGAAAAAUGUGGAAGAAUCGAUCGAUAUAACUCGUGCAAGUCAUCACUCUAUUUCAAGCAAUAGGCUAAAGGAAAAAAGAAUAGAAGUGUCCGUGAAGCCAUUGGUAGAAGAGAAUUAAUAAGCACAAAAAAGCUUCCAAAGCCUUAUCCAGCUUUAUAUCUAACAUUGAAGCACAUAGUUGACGGGAUAAAAGGAGGAGAAAUAACAAAGUCAAAAAGGCAUAUGAAGACCCAUGCUACGUUCAUGCCAAACCCACGUACAACUUGGACCGGAUGAAAUAUGAGAAACUCAAAGUGCCUCUCGCAGUGAUAGCAGUCUUCGGCUUCAGUAUGCAUAAAGUUUCCAUCUUGCACCAUCAGCUUAAUUUCUUGGUUGUUGGAACAAAUCCAAACAUAGCUUGGUGGAACGUUUCUGCCUGGUAAUUGCUCAUUUGUUCAAAU